GCCAGACUCCUACGGGAGGCAGCAGUGGGGAAUAUUGCACAAUGGGGGAAACCCUGAUGCAGCGACGCCGCGUGAGUGAAGAAGUAUUUCGGUAUGUAAAGCUCUAUCAGCAGGGAAGAAGUUGACGGUACCUGAGUAAGAAGCCCCGGCUAACUACGUGCCAGCAGCCGCGGUAAUACGUAGGGGGCAAGCGUUAUCCGGAUUUACUGGGUGUAAAGGGAGCGUGGACGGCAGUGCAAGUCUGAAGUGAAAGCCCCAGGCUUAACCCGGGAACUGCUUUGGAAACUGUACGGCUGGAGUGCUGGAGAGGUAAGCUGAAUUCCUAGUGUAGCGGUGAAAUGCGUAGAUAUUAGGAGGAACACCAGUGGCGAAGGCGGCUUACUGGACAGUAACUGACGUUGAGGCUCGAAAGCGUGGGGAUCAAACAGGAUUAGAUACCCCGGUAC
This 446-nucleotide ribosomal RNA is filed under the name uncultured bacterium. RNAcentral describes it as "bacterial SSU rRNA". It matches the Rfam family "Bacterial small subunit ribosomal RNA", at positions 330 to 793 of the family's 1533-position model. The record is from RNAcentral.